UACGUAGGGGGCAAGCGUUGUCCGGAUUUAUUGGGCGUAAAGAGCUCGUAGGCGGUUCGGUAAGUCGGGUGUGAAAACUUUGGGCUCAACCCAAAGCCUGCACUCGAUACUGCUGUGACUUGAGUCCGGUAGGGGAGUGGGGAAUUCCUGGUGUAGCGGUGGAAUGCGCAGAUAUCAGGAGGAACACCGGUGGCGAAAGCGCUCAUCUGGCCCAAUACUGACGCUGAGGCGCGAAAGCUAGGGGAGCAAACGGG
Molecule: ribosomal RNA, 254 nt
Filed under: uncultured bacterium
Lineage: Bacteria
Description: partial 16S ribosomal RNA
Rfam family: Bacterial small subunit ribosomal RNA
Source: RNAcentral